GGACAUGGGAGUCUCUGGUACCUGCUUGA
RNAcentral lists this non-coding RNA (29 nucleotides) under Mus musculus (house mouse). Lineage: Eukaryota; Metazoa; Chordata; Mammalia; Rodentia; Muridae. The record is from RNAcentral.